GAAUAGAAGAUGGAGUUUGGCUUCCAUAGGAGUCCAGACGAAGUCUACCUGCAGUUGAAGUCGUGGGCGGAGUCCGGCUCCCGUAGGAGUCCGGACGAAGUCUGUCUGCAGCCGUUGGAGUCGAGGAUGAAGCCCGGCUCCCGUAGGAGUCCGGACGAAGUCUUCCUGCAAUCAAAGUUAAAGGCGAAGUCCGGCUCCCGUAGGAGUCCGGACGAAUCUU
RNAcentral lists this long non-coding RNA (220 nucleotides) under Elaeis guineensis (African oil palm). RNAcentral's name for it is "long non-coding RNA (EGUI_LNC080046)". Lineage: Eukaryota; Viridiplantae; Streptophyta; Magnoliopsida; Arecales; Arecaceae. The record is from RNAcentral.